CAUGCAAGUCGAACGAUGAACCUCCUUCGGGAGGGGAUUAGUGGCGAACGGGUGAGUAACACGUGGGCAAUCUGCCCUGCACUCUGGGACAAGCCCUGGAAACGGGGUCUAAUACCGGAUACGACACACGGAGGCAUCUCCUGUGUGUGGAAAGCUCCGGCGGUGCAGGAUGAGCCCGCGGCCUAUCAGCUUGUUGGUGAGGUAACGGCUCACCAAGGCGACGACGGGUAGCCGGCCUGAGAGGGCGACCGGCCACACUGGGACUGAGACACGGCCCAGACUCCUACGGGAGGCAGCAGUGGGGAAUAUUGCACAAUGGGCGCAAGCCUGAUGCAGCGACGCCGCGUGAGGGAUGACGGCCUUCGGGUUGUAAACCUCUUUCAGCAGGGAAGAAGCGCAAGUGACGGUACCUGCAGAAGAAGCGCCGGCUAACUACGUGCCAGCAGCCGCGGUAAUACGUAGGGCGCAAGCGUUGUCCGGAAUUAUUGGGCGUAAAGAGCUCGUAGGCGGCUUGUCGCGUCGGUUGUGAAAGCCCGGGGCUUAACCCCGGGUCUGCAGUCGAUACGGGCAGGCUAGAGUUCGGUAGGGGAGAUCGGAAUUCCUGGUGUAGCGGUGAAAUGCGCAGAUAUCAGGAGGAACACCGGUGGCGAAGGCGGAUCUCUGGGCCGAUACUGACGCUGAGGAGCGAAAGCGUGGGGAGCGAACAGGAUUAGAUACCCUGGUAGUCCACGCCGUAAACGGUGGGCACUAGGUGUGGGCCACAUUUCCACGUGGUCCGUGCCGCAGCUAACGCAUUAAGUGCCCCGCCUGGGGAGUACGGCCGCAAGGCUAAAACUCAAAGGAAUUGACGGGGG
RNAcentral lists this ribosomal RNA (854 nucleotides) under Streptomyces sp. RNAcentral's name for it is "bacterial SSU rRNA". It matches the Rfam family "Bacterial small subunit ribosomal RNA", at positions 54 to 919 of the family's 1533-position model. The record is from RNAcentral. Lineage: Bacteria; Bacillati; Actinomycetota; Actinomycetes; Kitasatosporales; Streptomycetaceae.